This 9132-nucleotide long non-coding RNA is filed under the name Malus domestica (apple). Its description in RNAcentral is "long non-coding RNA (MDOM_LNC006248)". Lineage: Eukaryota; Viridiplantae; Streptophyta; Magnoliopsida; Rosales; Rosaceae. The record is from RNAcentral.
CAGCUAUCCUAAAGGACCCUACAGUAGAGGUCCUUGUUGUACUUUUUAGCUGCCAUCAGGUUAGCAAAAUAUAAAGAAAUGCAAAAAGAACAGGCUAAGAUUAUUGCUGUAAAAUUUUCUCACGCCGCCUGCUGUUAAGGUGCCGGUCGUGAACAUGUCGAUCAGGAGUAAUUGGCUUGAAAUCCCUUCUUGGUUCAGGGGACUCGUGAAACCAGGUAUGGUUGAGGGCAUCCUUCGCUGUUAUUCGCUCCGCAGGGUAUAACAUAAGAGCCUCUUCAACAAAUCAAACCCAGAUUCAGAGAGCACUGGGCAUGAUCCAGUGAAAGAUGCGGCAGGAAAUUUCUUGCGCAGAAGAUUGUACCUGAAAGAGUUUCAGAAACUAUUAGAAAGAUAUUAAACGGUGAAAACAAGUAACCACAAAAAUCAGCAGGAAGGAAUGAACUUGCAUUCGCUAAAAUUAAAAUGGAAAAAAGAAACUUACGGUUGCUUAACAAAAUUAGCUUUGAAGCCCGGCAAUUUGGACAAACCACUUUUCUCAUCUGGUGUACCAAGAGUUUUGAAGAUCUUGUCCAGCUGCUCAAUUUCAUCUUUCCCGCUAAAGAGAGGUGCCUUCGCCAACAAUUCAGCCAUUAUGCAACCUACUGACCACAUAUCAAUUGCUGUAGAGUACUGUUUUGCACCUAAUAGAAUUUCAGGUGCCCGGUACCACAAAGUGACAACUAAAGAAGUAUAUGGCUUUAGUGGACUCCCAUAUUGUCGUGACAACUCAAAGUCGCAUAUUUUCAACUCACCCUCGUUAUUCAAUAGAAUAUUUGAUGUUUUCAGAUCUCUGUGAAGGAUCCAAUUGUCAUGAAGAUACUCUACACCCUCCAAACGUUGUUUCAUCAAGUACUUAACUUCGCCAAUACUAAAUGGCUGCUUCAUUGACUCCAUUAGCCCCUUCAAGUCAUGGUCCAUAUGCUCCAUAACCAUAUAAACACCAUCAAAGUCAUCCAUAACAACUUCCUUAACACCAACAACAGAAGGGUGAUUAAAGGACAGGAGAAUAUUUAUUUCUCUCAAUGCCGACAUAGGGAAACCAUCACAUCCCUUAUCCACAUCCAUCUUCAUCUUCUUCAAUGCGACAAUUUCUCCGGUCUUUUUAUCUCUGGCUCUAAAGACAACACCAUAAGUGCCUUCACUUAUAUGGUUGAGCCUUUCAUACUCAAACACACUUCUGCAACCUUGAAGCAUGUUUAUACAUUUUUGUGUCGGCACUUCUGGCUCUUCAAUCUGAGAAAGAUCAGAAUCAUCCUCAGAAUCAGAGUAGAACUGGCUAUCGUCAGCAUUCCCACCAUAAUUAUCAGCAUCCAUAUGCGCAUCAUCACAUAACUCGUCUCCAUAAAGUGCAUCUCCACUGCCAGGCUUUUCAAAGCUGCCUUCUAUGUCAGAGCCAGAAGUUCUAGCCCGACUCAACCUAGAGCUUUCUAUCCGAAUCUCCCCACUUUCAGGCGAACUGUCAUCAGAGAUAUCCCUUGGGGAAUCACUACCGGAUGACCAUUUUGACAAUGAGAUGUCACGUUGAUAGAAAAAUUCUUUGUCUUCCUUGUUUCUAAAAUUUAAGUCACUGUUUCUGGAUUUUUGUUCUUUUCUUUUUGGAUAUAGUGUUUGUUUGUGCACAGACAAAACAAACAUUGUAUCUUUUUUUUUUUUUUUUUUGGUUUCCAUAAACAAUGUUAUGUUUUGGGUUAUCCAGAAACAGUUUUAUGUUAUGGUUCUUUUUUUUUCUAGACACUUUUUCGCUCUGCCAUUAAACUUCUUUGAACUUAUUUCGGCGGCUUUGUUUCAAUAAAUGCUUCAUUUUUCAACUUUGAUUUGGUUGUUUUUGAAAUGGGGGAAUUUAAUUUGAUAUGAAGACAAGGAGUUAUUAUGGCGGUUUCGUGCUAAUUUGAAGUUGGUGAAGAGUCAAUACAAUAUCAAAUCAUUUAGGGAUAUUUAUAGAAGUGUAGAUUUGUAGUGGGUGGGGCUUGUAAGUUUGACCCGUAGACAAUAGUUUUGGAUGAUUUUGUAUUAAACUUUGAGUCAUUUUGGUUAAAUAACAUUUUAAAAUGAUUUUUUGUUAAAUAUUUAUUGACCCAGACCCUUUUCAUUAAGGACUUGGAUUCUCUGCCCUCCCAAUUUGGUGCCCUCCCCGUGCCCUCCUGUUUGUGUGGUCACGGUUAAGGUACGUCAAUAUUUUAUAUUAUUAUUUUUUUUUGUCUUAUUAUUUUUAUAAAAAACAAUAUAAAAUGUUAGCAUGGAUUAACCGUGACCACACAAAACAAGAGGGCACACGGGGAGGGUACCAAAAUAGGAGGGCAGAUAAUCCAAGUCCUUUCAUUAAAACUCACUAAAUUUAAUCACCCUAACAUUUCUCUUAUAUUUAUAUGGCAACCCAAGAGAGUCAACAUCUGGAUUUAAUUUCGCAUAAAAUCCGCGUUUGCUCCUCAUUCCUUAUCUGAAUUAUUUACCUCCCAAACUCAACCUUUUUACAACCACAAAAGCACCCAACUAGGAAAAAGCCAAAUCAAAUACGUCAGUUCCCUUUCGUCUCCUGUCUCUUCGUUUUCGUCUUACAACUUAUAAGCACUUUCAACAUUCAAGUACCACGUCCAACUGAACCUUCAACCAUGGCGGACGAAUCCACACCAAAUCCCAAGAGCGGCUACUGCCUACAAACCAAGACAUUCCACACUCUCCGGCCUCCGGUCCCACUCCCGCCACUCUCCCAACCCCUCUCCCUCACCCAGUUCACCCUCUCCCUCCUCCAAUCCUCUACCGCCGCGCCCACCACCUCCGUCCUCAUCGACGCCGCCUCCGACCGCCAUGUCUCCUACCAAACUUUCCUCGGCCAAAUCCACUCCCUCACUCUCUCCCUCCAAUCCCUCGCCCCCUCUCUCUCCAAAGGUCACGUGGCCUUCAUUCUCUCCCCUCCUUCCCUCCACGUCCCCGUCCUCUAUUUCUCUCUCCUCGCCUUAGGCGUCGUCGUUUCGCCCGCUAAUCCAGUCGGGUCAGAGUCCGAGAUCGCCCAUCAGGUCCGGCUAACCCGACCAGCCAUCGCCUUCGCCACGUCAACAACCGCUCAGAAGCUCCCCAAGGGUGAUGACAAAAUCCGCAACGUUAUCCUCCUCGACUCGCCCGAAUUCCUCUCCAUGCUCGACCGGGUCGGUUCAUCCGAAACACGACCCGACCUCCGGUUUGCAGUCAACCAGACCGACCCGGCUACGAUUCUCUUCUCCUCCGGCACCACCGGCCGAGUCAAAGGCGUUCUCUUAUCACACCGCAACUUCAUCGCCGUCAUAGCUGGGCUCCAUGCCCUGCACGAACCCGAUCCGGACCUACCCAAAAGCCAAGCGGUGUCGCUGUUCACGCUACCUCUGUUCCACGUGUUCGGGUUCUUCAUGGUGGUUCGGGCGGUGGCAAUGUGCGAGACCUUGGUUCUGAUGGAGAGGUUCGAUUUCGAAUCAAUGCUGAGGGCCGCGGAGAGGCACAAAAUCUCGUACAUGCCGGUAUCGCCGCCGCUGGUCGUUGCAAUGGCGAAGUCGGAGCUGGUUAAGAAAUACGAUCUCAGCUCGCUUCGGCUUCUCGGCUGUGGCGGUGCGCCGCUGGGAAAGGACGUUGUUGACAGAUUCCGUGAGAGAUUUCCCACUGUUGAAAUUGUACAGGUCAGAGAAUUAACGUUGUCGCAUUACCUUCCUAAUUUUAAUUCUUGACCGUUGAUUGAUAGUUAUGUAAACGGCACAAAAUCUUGGCCGUUGGUAUUUGUUUAUCUUUUAACUUCCCGCGUUUUUCGAAAAAUUAUUUAAUUUGUGCUCUAAUUUUCUUUCCUAGCAAGAAAACUUGUACGUGAAAUAAAAUACACGUUUAAUUGAAAAAUGCAUCUACAGUACAUAAUUCACAUUCGAAUCUUGCACUCAGGUUCGAAUCUUUUUUGUUAAACUAGAGUAGUUUAGAAUAUUAUCGGGUAAAAGAAAAAGAGUUAGUAGGCACACAUUUCUGUCGUCUGUCACAUGUCUGAAUAUUGUGGCUGUUCAGGGAUAUGGUUUGACGGAGACCGGAGGAGGGGCAACGAGGAUGAUAAACUCCGAAGAGACUAAGUCGCAUGCUUCUGUGGGCCGCCUAUCGGAAAAUAUGGAAGCCAAGAUUGUCGACCCUGAAACAGGAGAGGCAUUGCCUCCCGGCAAGAGGGGUGAGCUAUGGCUGCGAGGUCCAUCGGUCAUGAAAGGUAAUGAACACUUGCCAUGUCUCAGAUAUCCCACGUUGCAAACGUAAAACGUGGUAAGAUGAUUGUAAGUUUUUCGGCACCCUGUUCUUACAGUUUGAUUUUGCAGUGAUGACAAUGUAGUUCCGUAUCCAAAUGACCUUUUCGAAACCUUUAUAACAUUUGCAGGUUAUGUAGGAGAUGAGAAGGCAACUGCUGAGACCUUGGACAAAGACGGGUGGUUGAAGACCGGUGAUCUUUGCUAUUUCGAUGACGAGGGGUUCCUCUACAUUGUUGACAGGUUGAAGGAGUUGAUAAAGUACAAGGCAUAUCAGGUGACGACCGAAACUGAGACCCUUUGAAAGUUCACUCAUAACAAAGAUCACUGUAAAUAUCAUUUGAUCAGUCCCUUUACGUAAUGUGUUAUUUUCGGUGUCUCUAAUUCUGGAACGAAUUGCAGGUACCUCCAGCUGAGCUGGAACAUAUACUUCUAUCCCAUCCUGACAUUGCCGAUGCUGCUGUGAUUCCGUAUGUAUCUAGUACUAUGUCAUCCUUAGAAGUUUAGCUUUAUUUGUAAACAAGAAAUUGGUGCAUUUAAAGGAGAAAAAAGGUAUAGAGAAAAUUUUCCGUUUAAACGGAUAUUUUGCUGAUAAGAUGGCCUUUACGAAAUCUUGUUUUAUGCCGUCCCACCCUCAUCCCAGAAGGCUAAAAGAAAACGAGUGGCAUGUGUUCGCGCAGAUAGUCGAUAAGAUCACAGUUUCUGGAAUAAUCUACUGGUUUUUCUUUUUGUGUAUUUUUUUCCUCAAGGUUUACAAGUUCUUUGUUCUUCCCAUUUGGGUUCGUAAAACAGGUAUCCGGAUGAAGAUGCAGGGGAGAUUCCCAUGGCCUAUGUGGUUAGAAAGCCCGGAAGCAACAUCACCGAAGUUCUAGUUAUGGAUUUCGUUGCAAAACAAGUAAGCUCCUGAAUGGAAAAUCUGUAACUGAAUGUGCAUACAAGUUUUCUUCACAGCUUUCGAAUUAAAAUUGCUCAUAUACGUAGCUUUACAUACAUAUUUUACGGAAAAAGAGAACAAUUCUCAUCACGAAUAUUAGGGUUCAACUGCAGAUUUGAGGAGCAGCUUUGUAUGUUAUAGGCUUUCACAUUGGUGUUGGCGCGUUCUUAUUGCAGGUUUCACCGUACAAGAAGAUACGGCGGGUAGCGUUUAUCAACUCCAUUCCAAAAUCUCCAGCAGGGAAGAUCUUGAGGAGGGAGCUAGUCAAUCAUGCUUUAUCUAGUAGUUCAUCUAAAUUAUGAUUCGUUCGUCCAAAGCAAAGGAAGAUCAAAGCCUUCUCAGCAUCACAUUCCGUCCGGCGUUCAUCAUAUCGGCUCAUUCAUGCUCAUUAGCAUGUAUGCAAUCUUUGAAUUUUCCGGUGGUGAGGGUCGGAUCAUAGUUGGGUGCCCACUUUGUUUGGGUUUACUUGUGUAUAUGUACACCAUUUUUCUGUGAUAUUUUGAAACCCUAAACCCUUCAAGACCCUUUUUUGUUUCUUCGUACCAUUGUGUACUGUGCCAUAGAAGUUUGCUCCCCAUCUUAUGGCCUUCAUACAACAUUUUUAUCGUAUGGGCCCUAUCUCUAUUAUUUAUCGCUCUUAGAGAAGCAAUUUGGACACUUCCAACCGUUUGUGUGCACUCACUUGAAUUUAGAGACUUCCAACCGUUUGUGCACACUCACAAUACUUGGGUUAGUAGACCGCGCACUUGUGAGUGUGACGUUUGAUUCAACUAGCCCUAGCAAAAUCCAUGACAUGUUCGUACACCACGUAACAAUUGCAAACACAUCUUACAUUAUCAAUAUUGGGCCUAUAUAUACCAAUUUACUUGUUCGCUAGUCUCCAACCACUUUAACCACGUAGCAAUUUGCUUGUUGCAACUCCGGCAAUACGUCGCAAUCGAGAAUCAAUAACAGCUCCGGAAACUUGGGAAUAACCAACAGUUCCGGGAACCUCGGGAGGUUUCUUCUCAGAAAGUGAUCUUGAAGCAGUUGAUUAUGUUCUAAUGCCUACAAAUACACAAUUGGCCUCAUACAUGUCCCUCUAUCGGAAAAGACAGCCUUUUUGGUGUGUCCACUUGCAACUUCCUCAUGCUCUGUACUUCCCCUCUACGCUGCGCAGAGAAAACUAAAAAACUAAAUCCAAAACAGUUAUCAAACUCGCCCAUUGUGUUUUGAUUUUGGAGUGUAACAAAGUUUGCUAUUGUUUUCAGUGACCUACACGCAACCCUAGUGGAAUUACCCUCUAUCUGCUUCUUUGAGGUGACACUAGCUCUUUUCGUGAUUGGGAAGACGAUAACGUUCACGACUCGAUGAUUUAUGUUCGGGGUUCUGAUGAUUUAUGUUCGGGGGCUCGUUAGACUUCUGCUGCAUUCUGUUUCGUCAAGCACAACAUUUACAACACCCAGUGAUACGGAAAAAACCAGUCAUGUUCGGCUAGAAAUAUCGAAACUGCCAGAUGUAAGGAAGACGGUUGCAAAGGGAAAUCGAAGAAAAAAAGAAAUCUACUGCUGCUAUCAUCUCACGUAAUCCGCAUUACAAAUGAUACUUAUAUACUGCCGCGAUUCGCACGAUGAAUGACAGAAUUUUGACAUGAUUACCUUUCAAAAAUCUUACUGUAAUGCGGAGAAGAGAAUAUAUCCAUCACGGUGACUCUUUGCAUGGGUAAAAGUUACAUAUGCAUCCUGCAUAAAAGGAGUUCAGAGAAAAAGAAGGCGUGAAAGUACCAAACCGGAUCUUCGUUAUUCUAAAGACUAACAAACAAAAAGAAAAACACGAAUAUCAUAAGCAACAUUACGCAACUUUUCCUCUGAUGCUCGGUACAAAGCUUUGAUAUUAUCCUGUCUUUACAAAAAAAUGGUUCCCACCGUGGCUGAUAAAGCUGCUGCUAAUGAAAGCACAGGAUAUGAGGAGGGCCUGGCAUGUAAAUUUCAGACAACUAAUUUACACAACAUUGAGCUCAUAGGGCAUACAUACAUCACAUGAAUUCACAUCAUUCGACAUUGUGACGAUGCCAAUUCAAUCAGCAUACCUUUUAACUAGACACGAUUUCAGAAAAUUAAGGCACAUGGGAAGCACGGUAAACAUCUUUACUUCAUACAUCUUUAUUUUCUUCAUUUUUUUUAAAUCAUUCAACAUCUUCCAUUACACUUUUGAGUCCCCAGCAUUCUCUAUGCUUCAGAAAAAUCCGAGCUAAAUUUUUUAAAAUUUCAACUAUUUCCACUGGGGACACGAUGUCAUAUCCAACCAGCAUACAGGGAACAUUUCUCGAUCCAAAUAGUUACAAGUUGAGUAGAUAUGCUAGCAAUUGAUAUUUUAUAAAUACUCAUUACUAAACUCUACAGCAUCACAAUUUUCUACUGAUUCGGCAUAAGAUUGAUGUAAACUACAAACCGUAGAUAUCCUAUGCACACUACACAUGGCAAAAAACGAUAACAGCUGCACCUAGAUUCACAAAUCGAUAAGGAAAAAUGAAAACCCUUACCAGUUGAGUGAUCUAGCUGCAGGCAAGCAAAUUCUCCAUUGCCAUAGCAAGCUAAUUCCUAACAGAAUAAUGCACAUGGGAAGCUACAUCUCAAAAAUUAAUCAAAUGAAGUAAUAGGCAGAUGAAGGAGAAGACAAAAAGGAAUUACAAGACAGAGAAAAACAAAAUAUAAGUUUAAACCACAUUGCAGCUCCUGGCUCUACGAGAUAAAACCUCAACCAAAAAGCAUCCACAGAAUGCAGAAGCAAUCGAACCCGAUGAGGAACUGAACGUACUGCACGUAUCAAAAUAACUCAAGCACCUAACAAAACAACACUACUUAGACAACGAGAAAUAGCAGCGGAAGAGACUGGCAACACUGUCAACUUAUAGUGCACACAAUAUAUCUUGUUUAUUUUAUGUGUAUUAGAAGUGGUCUAGACAGAACUUGCAUUUGGGCAAUAAAAUUAAACCAAUAUAAUGCCUCGUUUACUAUGAACUUGAAGAAAAGGAAACAUUUCCAACAAAUUAUCAAUCGAGGAUUGGCCGCGUGAAGUAUGAACACACUGGCCUAACAUAGCAUAACCAUAAGCUAAGCAUUAGAGGGAGCAUCAUGAUUUAGGAAAACAUGGAAGACCGAACAGACCUCAAUCCAUGAACCAGCAAUGCAUAUGACUGGAUACACCUCAAAAGACCUUGUGUGUGGUAAAAUAACUUACGAUUGCGGAACUUCCAGUCUCCAAGUGUGAAAGCGAAUAAUGCACCCUCCCAUUCUUUUAAAGCCCAGAAUCACUUGCAAACAAAGUUUUAAGCGUGAAUAAAGUGAAAGCAAAAGGUUUUAACGUACAAAUAAUGAAGACGACAUUGAUAAAAAUAAUAUCAUUCCAAUGUGAACAUAUAUACACAGGUUCAAGAAUGUGGGAAAAAAAACAAAAAGUUCUCUUUUCUUCUCAACAUUUUGCCACACCUUCAUAUAGGAAGACUGUGCACCGCUAUUAAGCUGCUCUUAACAGGAUAAACCAUUAGUGCCGACUGACACACCUUGCAACUCCUUUGCUCCAGCUAUCCUAAAGGACCCUACAGUAGAGGUCUUUGUUGUACUUUCUAGCUGCCAUCAGGUUAGCAAAAUAUAAAGAACUGCAAAAAGAACAGGCUAAGAUUAUUGCUGUAAAAUUUUCUCACGCCGCCUGCUGUUAAGGUGCCGGUCGUGAACAUGUCGAUCAGGAGUAAUUGGCUUGAAAUCCCUUCUUGGUUCAGGGGACUCGUGAAACCAGGUAUGGUUGAGGGCAUCCGUCGCUGUUAUUCGCUCCGCAGGGUUAUAACAUAAGAGCCUCUUCAGCAAAUCAAACCCAGAUUCAGAGAGCACUGGGCAUGAACCAGUGAAAGAUGCGGCAGGAAAUUUCUUGCGCAGAAGAUUGUAC